UUCCAGCAGCAGCCUCAA
RNAcentral lists this unclassified non-coding RNA (18 nucleotides) under Mus musculus (house mouse). RNAcentral's name for it is "oocyte_clustered_small_RNA1640". Lineage: Eukaryota; Metazoa; Chordata; Mammalia; Rodentia; Muridae. The record is from RNAcentral.